RNAcentral lists this ribosomal RNA (450 nucleotides) under uncultured Hyphomicrobiales bacterium. RNAcentral describes it as "bacterial SSU rRNA". It matches the Rfam family "Bacterial small subunit ribosomal RNA", at positions 8 to 507 of the family's 1533-position model. Lineage: Bacteria; Pseudomonadati; Pseudomonadota; Alphaproteobacteria; Hyphomicrobiales. The record is from RNAcentral.
AGAGUUUGAUCCUGGCUCAGAACGAACGCUGGCGGCAGGCUUAACACAUGCAAGUCGAGCGCCCGCAAGGGGAGCGGCAGACGGGUGAGUAACGCGUGGGAAUCUACCUUUUGCUACGGAAUAACUCAGGGAAACUUGUGCUAAUACCGUAUGUGCCCUUCGGGGGAAAGAUUUAUCGGCAAAGGAUGAGCCCGCGUUGGAUUAGCUAGUUGGUGAGGUAAAGGCUCACCAAGGCGACGAUCCAUAGCUGGUCUGAGAGGAUGAUCAGCCACACUGGGACUGAGACACGGCCCAGACUCCUACGGGAGGCAGCAGUGGGGAAUAUUGGACAAUGGGCGCAAGCCUGAUCCAGCCAUUCCGCGUGAGUGAUGAAGGCCCUAGGGUUGUAAAGUUCUUUCAACGGUGAAGAUAAUGACGGUAACCGUAGAAGAAGCCCCGGCUAACUUCGUG